UACAGAGGUGGCGAACGUUGUUCGGAUUUACUGGGCGUAAAGGGUCCGCAGGCGGAUCGGUGUGUCGGAUGUGAAAGCUCACAGCUCAACUGUGGAAUUGCAUUCGAAACUGCCGGUCUAGAGUACUGGAAGGGAGAAGGGAACACUUGGUGUAGCGGUGAAAUGCGUAGAUAUCAAGUGGAACACCGGUGGCGAAGGCGCUUCUCUGGACAGAUACUGACGCUCAUGGACGAAAGCCAGGGUAGCGAAAGGG
RNAcentral lists this ribosomal RNA (253 nucleotides) under uncultured bacterium. RNAcentral's name for it is "partial 16S ribosomal RNA". It matches the Rfam family "Bacterial small subunit ribosomal RNA", at positions 524 to 776 of the family's 1533-position model. The record is from RNAcentral.